AAGUCGUAAAGGAUCAUUACAAAUCAUUAUGCUUGCCACCAAUAUUAUUGGGGGUAUAGCACAUGUGCCCGGACUAUUAUCUGCAAGGAUGGUAGUCUGUGACAUUUACGCUUGUUGUGUUUGACAGAGUUUAUAUUACACAUAUAAAAUAGACAACUUUUAACAAUGGAUCUCUUGGCUCUU
RNAcentral lists this unclassified non-coding RNA (183 nucleotides) under fungal sp. RNAcentral describes it as "partial internal transcribed spacer region". Lineage: Eukaryota; Fungi. The record is from RNAcentral.